This is an RNA transcript of Alosa alosa (allis shad), 1283 nucleotides long. It is a transcript of the gene named osteocrin, with no coding region annotated. NCBI's taxonomy places the organism in Eukaryota, Metazoa, Chordata, Actinopteri, Clupeiformes, Clupeidae. The transcript is spliced from 5 exons. The record is from RefSeq and is a predicted model, not a curated record.
CAGAGGAAGGGCAGCAGUGAUGAUGUCAGAAGCAUGGCCUGUACUGAUUGGUUAGGAGCUUCCUGGGGAGAGCCUAUAAAAUAGCCAACAUCAACAGCGGUAAGAAGCAAAGGCAGGAAAGCUGGGAACCUGAGAAAUUCCAGGAACUGUCCACUGAACUCUCCAACACGUCUGUGUGUCUGUGUAUCUGACAACCCCGGAUUAGAGAUGCUGGGCUGUGGCUGUGCUGUGCUCUCAUGUCUUUUGACGUUGACGCUGUUCCACUGUAGUGUCGACAGCCUCCACCUGACUCAAGAAAGCCCUGAGUACGGGGCCCUGGAGGAGCCGGUGUCCAGGGGCCGGCCGGUGGAGCCGAAGUCUCCUGAGGGCAUCACAGCCAAGCUGCUGCUGCUGGACCAGCAGGUGGCGCUAGAGAACGACGUCAUCGAGACCAAGAAGAAGAGAAGCUUCCCGGGGUCCAACACCCCAAUGGACCGCCUCUCCAUCAGCACAAUGGACAACAACAAAAAACAACAACAACAAGCAGAGGAAAGUCGUCGAGUUACCAAGGCGAAGGGUGAAUGUUCCCAUUGACCGGAUCGGAGUGGGCCGCCUACCAAGCAACCGAGGAUAAGACCCGCCACUGCCUCCCUACCCCCUCUCCUGUGAGACUGGGGCAUCAGUCCAGCUGGCAGCAACAUGGAAUACAUAACAAAUACAAAGACACAUAAAGACAUCUCCUCCGUCUCCUCCUUCUCUUCCUUGCUUCACACCUGAGCUCUUAACACGGACACAAGCCACUAUGUCCACACCCAGAACCCGUCCUAAUCCCUACACACCAACCCUUCUCCACUCUUUUUACACUGCCUAUAAUCCCAGAUUAGAGUAGAAAGCAGAAAUACACAGUCCCAACACCUCGCCCUGACUUCACACCAAGCUCCCAUUCCCUAUCCAAAAGCCUCUCACCUGUAUUUGAUACUCAGUAUUCAUAUACUUUAUAAAGCCUUAUGACGCUCUAUGACUACCACAAAGCUCUGUGUACUUUUCACUGCAUACAGCUAUGCCCCUUUACAAUAGCAGCAUUAUACUCCACAAGCACAGGAACUCCAGCACACUAUGUAGGGCCUCACACCUUGUGCCUUAGACCCACUUGCAGAGGGGAUGGUCAUGGUCUCCGUGGUAACUACAGAACAGCACUAUUUACCCCUGUUGCCUGAGCGCUGUUGUUUGUUAAUCUCACUGUAGUAAACUGUUCCAUUCUGCACAAAGACAGGAGGCCCACUGCCUUGACAUUAAAACUGAUC